RNAcentral lists this ribosomal RNA (853 nucleotides) under uncultured bacterium. RNAcentral describes it as "bacterial SSU rRNA". It matches the Rfam family "Bacterial small subunit ribosomal RNA", at positions 546 to 1397 of the family's 1533-position model. The record is from RNAcentral.
CGGAUUUACUGGGUGUAAAGGGCGAGUAGGCGGAUUGGCAAGUUGGGAGUGAAAUGUCGGGGCUUAACCCCNGGAACUGCUUCCAAAACUGUUGAUCUUGAGUGAUGGAGAGGCAGGCGGAAUUCCCAGUGUAGCGGUGAAAUGCGUAGAUAUUGGGAGGAACACCAGUGGCGAAGGCGGCCUGCUGGACAUUAACUGACGCUGAGGAGCGAAAGCGUGGGGAGCAAACAGGAUUAGAUACCCUGGUAGUCCACGCCGUAAACGAUGGAUACUAGGUGUGGGAGGUAUCGACCCCUUCCGUGCCGCAGUUAACACAUUAAGUAUCCCACCUGGGGAGUACGACCGCAAGGUUGAAACUCAAAGGAAUUGACGGGGGCCCGCACAAGCAGUGGAGUAUGUGGUUUAAUUCGAAGCAACGCGAAGAACCUUACCUGGUCUUGACAUCCCGAUGACCGGUCUAGAGAUAGACUUUUCUCUUCGGAGACAUCGGUGACAGGUGGUGCAUGGUUGUCGUCAGCUCGUGUCGUGAGAUGUUGGGUUAAGUCCCGCAACGAGCGCAACCCUUAUUGUUAGUUGAUACAUUUAGUUGAUCACUCUAGCGAGACUGCCGUUGACAAAACGGAGGAAGGUGGGGACGACGUCAAAUCAUCAUGCCCCUUAUGACCAGGGCUACACACGUACUACAAUGGCAGUCAUACAGAGGGAAGCAAAGCUGUGAAGCAGAGCAAAUCCCUAAAAGCUGUCCCAGUUCAGAUUGCAGGCUGCAACUCGCCUGCAUGAAGUCGGAAUUGCUAGUAAUCGCGGAUCAGCAUGCCGCGGUGAUACGUUCCCGGGCCUUGCACUCACCGCCCGU